RNAcentral lists this ribosomal RNA (242 nucleotides) under uncultured bacterium. Its description in RNAcentral is "partial 16S ribosomal RNA". It matches the Rfam family "Bacterial small subunit ribosomal RNA", at positions 90 to 334 of the family's 1533-position model. The record is from RNAcentral.
UGCGACCGGCGCACGGUGCGUAACGCGUAUGCAACCUACCUUUAACAGGGGGAUAACACUGAGAAAUUGGUACUAAUACCCCAUAAUAUCAUAGAAGGCAUCUUUUAUGGUUGAAAAUUCCGAUGGUUAGAGAUGGGCAUGCGUUGUAUUAGCUAGUUGGUGGGGUAACGGCUCACCAAGGCGACGAUACAUAGGGGGACUGAGAGGUUAACCCCCCACACUGGUACUGAGACACGGACCAG